This 859-nucleotide ribosomal RNA is filed under the name Thelebolales sp. Its description in RNAcentral is "partial large subunit ribosomal RNA". It matches the Rfam family "Eukaryotic large subunit ribosomal RNA", at positions 54 to 934 of the family's 3401-position model. Lineage: Eukaryota; Fungi; Ascomycota; Leotiomycetes; Thelebolales. The record is from RNAcentral.
AGGAAAAGAAACCAACAGGGAUUACCUCAGUAACGGCGAGUGAAGCGGUAACAGCUCAAAUUUGAAAUCUGGCAGCAAUGUCCGAGUUGUAAUUUGUAGAGGAUGUUUCGAGCAUGGUCUGGCCUAAGUUCCUUGGAACAGGACGUCAUAGAGGGUGAGAAUCCCGUAUGCGGUCAGGUGCCUACGCUCAUGUGAAACUCCUUCGACGAGUCGAGUUGUUUGGGAAUGCAGCUCAAAAUGGGUGGUAAAUUUCAUCUAAAGCUAAAUAUUGGCCAGAGACCGAUAGCGCACAAGUAGAGUGAUCGAAAGAUGAAAAGCACUUUGGAAAGAGAGUUAAACAGUACGUGAAAUUGUUGAAAGGGAAGCGCUUGCAACCAGACUUGCACGCAGCUGAUCAUCCGCUGUUCUCAGUGGUGCACUCGGUUGCGUUCAGGCCAGCAUCGGUUUUGGUGGUGGGAUAAAGGCCUUAGGAAUGUAGCUGCUUUCGGGCAGUGUUAUAGCCUAGGGUGCAAUGCCGCCUACUGGGACCGAGGACCGCGCUUCGGCUAGGAUGCUGGCGUAAUGGUUGUAAGCGACCCGUCUUGAAACACGGACCAAGGAGUCUAACAUCUAUGCGAGUGUUUGGGUGUCAAACCCAUACGCGUAAUGAAAGUGAACGGAGGUCAGAACCCUUAAGGGUGCAUGAUCGACCGGUCCUGAAGUCUUCGGAUGGAUCUGAGUAAGAGCAUAGCUGUUGGGACCCGAAAGAUGGUGAACUAUGCCUGAAUAGGGUGAAGCCAGAGGAAACUCUGGUGGAGGCUCGCAGCGGUUCUGACGUGCAAAUCGAUCGUCAAAUUUGGGUAUAGGGGCGAAAGACUAA